Molecule: long non-coding RNA, 534 nt
Organism: Actinia tenebrosa (Australian red waratah sea anemone)
Lineage: Eukaryota; Metazoa; Cnidaria; Anthozoa; Actiniaria; Actiniidae
Source: RefSeq, a predicted model, not a curated record
UAGUCAGUUUUGGAAAAGAAUGGUUUACCUUUCAGAAUAUGAUUCCUUCGUUUCUUCCCCUUGCAUCUGAUCAGCUUUCCAUCAAGCUGAAAGAUAAAGAAGAAAAAGUUGAAAAAGGAAAAAAAUUGAGCUAAUAAGCUUUCAUCUAAAAGAAACAAGGGGUCAGGCAAUGGCAACAAUGUCAGUUCGAGGCCUACGUCUUUUAAGAAGCUGGAGAACCCGUCUCCGACGAUGACGAUGAUAUCGAUGAAAGUGAUAGUAACGAAACUAAACUGUCUUGGGAGAAACAUGGAGCAGUGACAGGGGCAGUGACAGUUUGGWAAUAAGUGAAAGUGAAGACAGUGACGAGCAAUUUGAACCAUUGCCAGCAACAAAACAAUACACCACAAGAUGUGGAAGAARCGCUWCYAGUUUUGCAUUUCCUAAUUAAAUGUUGUGUUAAACAUUUGUCCAAUGACAUUUUUUAAAUAGCAAGCACACCUAAUUGUAUUGAAAUUUUAUCUGUUAUUAUUAAAAUCCAGGAGUUCCAAGUAA